RNAcentral lists this long non-coding RNA (1482 nucleotides) under Vulpes vulpes (red fox). RNAcentral describes it as "lncRNA (ENSVVUG00000015606.1)". Lineage: Eukaryota; Metazoa; Chordata; Mammalia; Carnivora; Canidae. The record is from RNAcentral.
GCGCCUCAGCCCCCAGCCGUCCGCCGGCGGGUGGAGGCCCCUCUGUCCGCCGCGCCGCGCCGCGCCUCCCCUCGGAGGGCAGGCCUCGGUCCCGUCCCAUCAGGGCAGCCUUCACGUGCCCGUGCGUCUCAAGCGCCUCCCCUCCUCCCCUCCUCCCCUCCUGAAGUUACGACGGAAGCUAAGACAGUGAGUUCAGGGCGCGGCUCUGGCGUCUCAGCUUCAACCUCGGGCGACCAAGAGGGGGUUCCUUGUCCUGGGUCGGGGAGCAGCGACAGGGCCGACCCGCGACACUCCUCCGCCGGGGCCGCCUCUCCGGCUGCGGAGGCUGCGCGCUGCGCCCCGGCUCCUGCUCUGGCCGGCGGGCGGCGGCGGCUGCGGCUGCGACUCGCAGGCUCCAGGGCCGCUGCCCCGAAGUCCGCUGCCCGCGACUCCCGUCCUGGCACCUGGGCCCGCGAGGGUCAGGGGCGCUGUGCGCUAGCAGGAGGCAGUGGGUGCCAGGGGGCGGCCCUGAGAAGGCCGCGGAGGAGACAGGAGGGCAAGGGGCGGAGCCGGGGAGCCGGGCUGGCCGCCGCGCGUGGGGAAUCUGAGCGGGCGGCGGCGCCUGGGAGCCGAGGCCCCGCGGAGGCGNNNNCUGCUGAAGCCACUGCGGUCCACCACCAGACUCACCUGCGAGGGGGCGCGGCUGCACCCAGCACGCGGCGCCCCAAGGGACCCCGCUCCGAGCUGCAACCUGAAGCCCCCGCCGCCCCGGGCCGCACGCAUCCCCGCGCCGGUUCUCAGCUGCCACCGCGGGCGUUCCCAGGGCUCCGGCGAGCUCUGUGCCUCCCGGGCCUCCCAGCCCGCCCACCCCACUGCUCCGCAUCGCCGCCACGGCCCGUGAGACUCCUCCUGGCGGUCGGCUCCAUGGAACUUGACUUCUCACCUCCUGCACCUCAUCACCUCCAUUCCCUCUCCCCCGUCUCGCCUCUAAGCCCCCAAUUUCCUCCUCCUCGCGCCUCCUUUCCACCCUCCUCUCCCUCCCCCGGCCACUUCCCUCACUUGGGGCGGGUGGGAUGCGUCUUCCCGCGGAUCCGAGCGCCAGCCUGCGCUUCAGCCCUCCGUGCAGCGGCCUGCAGCCCGGCAAGACGGGCGAGGUGGGCCCGGUGGGGGCUGCGCCGCCGCAGCAGGAGCAACAGCAGCAGGGGCGGUGGCGGUGGCGGCGGCAGCGGCCCGGGUGUCCCGGUUGCCGCCGCCGCAGGACGCCCGCACCACGGUAGGGGUCAUCGCCGACCACCCGGCCCAGCUCGUGCGCACCCACAGCCCAGCCUCCUGUGCUGCGUGCUGCCCUCGCACUGGCGCUGCGACGAGACCCUGCGGGGCCUUCAAGUAAGAAGCUGCGCCCCUCCCGCAGCCGGGCGCCGCGGGACCCGCCCCAGGGUCUCCAAGCCCGCGGGGGGCCGGCGCCGUGACGGCCUCCGAGGCCUCCUAGCUUGGGGGCUCUGA